This 740-nucleotide unclassified non-coding RNA is filed under the name Rhagoletis pomonella (apple maggot). Its description in RNAcentral is "putative nuclease HARBI1, transcript variant X3". Lineage: Eukaryota; Metazoa; Arthropoda; Insecta; Diptera; Tephritidae. The record is from RNAcentral.
UCUCGGCAGCCAGUUCAAGAACGUCCCAUCUCAAAAACCUUUUAAAAACGCUCUAUUUCAUAAUUGAAAAACUCCGUUUCUCAGAAUUUGAUUGAAGAAUGCCAUAUUUCAUAAUUCGGUGGAGAUACAGCGGAAAACUUUAGAAACAGAAAAUGUUAUUUCUCUAUAAACGUCCAAGCUAUGUGCAACGCAAGACUAAAAUUUCAAAAUAUAGUUGCGAGAUGGCCAGGAUCUACCCAUGAUAGCAUGAUAUUUUUGAAUUCAGCGGCUAAAUGGCAUUUCGACAACAACAAUUUCAACAAUGGUAUAAUUCUUGCAGAUAGCGGGUACUUCUUAAAUAAUUAUUUAAUUACACCUCUUACGGCGCCACAAUCUCCAGCCCAGCGCCUCUACAAUGAAUCCCAAAUAAGGACAAGGAAUGUGAUAGAACGUUGCUUUGGAGUAUGGAAGAGACCGUUCCCAGUGCUAAGCAUCGGCAUGAGGUGUAAAUUACCAUUAGUACAAGACAUAAUUGUGGCAUCGGCAAUAAUACACAAUCUAGCAAUCGAAAUGCAUGAAGAGGAGCCGCCAGUUGACCCCGAAGUAAAUGUUCAGGUGGAACUAACUUGCCAAAAUAUGGAGUUCGUAAUUUCAGAUGAUAGUGAUACACGAAACUCAUUGUUAGAAUAUUUCGAGUCAUUAAUUAGACUUUGAGUUUAUUAAAUAAAUAGUAUGUACAUACAUAUGUAUGCAAAUUUUCA